RNAcentral lists this ribosomal RNA (620 nucleotides) under uncultured bacterium. Its description in RNAcentral is "bacterial SSU rRNA". It matches the Rfam family "Bacterial small subunit ribosomal RNA", at positions 132 to 747 of the family's 1533-position model. The record is from RNAcentral.
UGUAGUGGGGGACAACUUAGGGAAACUUAAGCUAAUACCGCAUACGCCCUUCGGGGGAAAGCGGGGGACCUUCGGGCCUCGCGCUAUAGGAUGAGCCUGCGUUGGAUUAGCUGGUUGGUAGGGUAGAGGCCUACCAAGGCGACGAUCCAUAGCUGGUCUGAGAGGACGAUCAGCCACACUGGGACUGAGACACGGCCCAGACUCCUACGGGAGGCAGCAGUGGGGAAUAUUGGACAAUGGGCGCAAGCCCGAUCCAGCAAUACCGCGUGUGUGAAGAAGGCCUGAGGGUUGUAAAGCACUUUCAAUUGGGAGGAAAAAGGCAAGCCCAAUACGCUUGCCCUUGACAUUACCUUUAGAAGAAGCACCGGCUAACUCCGUGCCAGCAGCCGCGGUAAUACGGAGGGUGCGAGCGUUAAUCGGAAUUACUGGGCGUAAAGCGUGCGUAGGCGGCCUGUUAAGUCAGAUGUGAAAGCCCUGGGCUCAACCUGGGAACGGCAUUUGAAACUGGCAAGCUAGAGUUAGGUAGAGGGGAGUGGAAUUCCGGGUGUAGCGGUGAAAUGCGUAGAUAUCCGGAGGAACACCAGUGGCGAAAGGCGGCUCCCUGGACCCAAACUGACGCU